Molecule: ribosomal RNA, 253 nt
Filed under: uncultured bacterium
Lineage: Bacteria
Description: partial 16S ribosomal RNA
Rfam family: Bacterial small subunit ribosomal RNA
Source: RNAcentral
UACGAAGGGGGCUAGCGUUGCUCGGAAUCACUGGGCGUAAAGCGCACGUAGGCGGCUUCUUAAGUCAGGGGUGAAAUCCUGGAGCUCAACUCCAGAACUGCCUUUGAUACUGGAGAUCUUGAGUCCGGGAGAGGUGAGUGGAACUGCGAGUGUAGAGGUGAAAUUCGUAGAUAUUCGCAAGAACACCAGUGGCGAAGGCGGCUCACUGGCCCGGAACUGACGCUGAGACGCGAAAGCGUGGGGAGCAAACAGG